GCAACCUCUAAAGUUUUUUUUAAAUGACACACAAUGGGUUGUGAUUUUCGCCAUCUUGUUUUUGGCAAAAAUUGCAUGUAUGUAGAAAGACUAACAGAUGACGCUAGGAGUAACUCUAUGAUAAAUUUGAAUAUUUGUAUGGAGGAUGUGAGAUUUUUCUGAAUCUAAAAGUUUUGGAGUGCGGAAAUCAAAGUUUUUGAUUUUUCUUGUUAAAAUUAAAAUGUUUUCUGUCGUAUAAAAAUAGUUCCGCAUGAAAUUUCAAGAAAAAAUAAUUAUUCACUGGAACUAUUUUUAAACGAUGCAGAACGUUUUAUUUAUAACGAGAAAAAUCAAAAACCUCCAUUUCCGUACUCCAAAAUUUUUAAAUUCAGAAAAAUCUUACAUCCUCCAUACAAAUAUUCAAAUUUAUCAUAGAGUUACUCGCAACGCCAUCUGAUUUCCCCUGAUUUCCCCUCUCGUUGAACGAAACUAUAUCACAACCCAUU
Bradysia coprophila is the source of this 485-nucleotide long non-coding RNA. Lineage: Eukaryota; Metazoa; Arthropoda; Insecta; Diptera; Sciaridae. The record is from RefSeq and is a predicted model, not a curated record.